GGCAACAAUGCUUUGAGUUGGAUGAUGCACGUGAUGCGUGCGUGCACACGGAGCUUGCCGCUGAGCUCACUCGGGUUGUCCAUGUCGUCCGUUACGGUGAAAGUCUGUUGAUAUGACGAUAUCAGAUGAGGAGGUAAGCUGGCGUGAUGGGCUGGCGUGAAGGCUGUCCACUUCCCCCGUGUUAGCCACUUAGCUCCUGGCGUGGCUCCCGAAGCUGGAUGGCGUGCUCGCAGAAUCAGAUACAAUAGAGAGCUGAGGAUCUUGUCAUGGAUGCCAUUGACACUGCCAGGCCCAAAAUAAAUGGGCCUAGCAACCCCGGGCCCAAGAGCUGGGUGCGUUCAGCACCCCCACUUCCUCUCUUUCCAGACACCCGCUAGUGGUCAUCAAUGCUAGAAAGAAUCAGAUACAAUGGAGAGCUGAGGAUCUUGUCAUGGAUGCCAUUGACACAGAAUGGCAACCCCGGGCCCUGCAGCACCCCCCCUGUCAGCCCUAGCUCAUCUGAAGUGAGGAAAAGAAGAAGCUGAUGUCUGGUCGUCGCCGACGUCCUUGGUACAGAAAGGAUACGUGGAUGAUGUUUCUACACAAUAUCUAUUUGCGUGAAAACCAGGAAUCCUUACCGCUAGACCAAGGCUUAAUUUCUGGAAACUGGGAGGAAUUGAAUACCAUUUUCAUCGAUGCAAGUAACACAGACUAGUUAAAGAAAACAACACAGCAAAACCCAAUUACUGUCAAAUAUUGGAGUUUGAAUAAAGCAAGUUUGAUUGUCCAA
This is a long non-coding RNA of Limanda limanda (common dab), 769 nucleotides long. RefSeq lists it as uncharacterized. NCBI's taxonomy places the organism in Eukaryota, Metazoa, Chordata, Actinopteri, Pleuronectiformes, Pleuronectidae. The transcript has 4 exons. The record is from RefSeq and is a predicted model, not a curated record.